RNAcentral lists this ribosomal RNA (497 nucleotides) under uncultured bacterium. RNAcentral describes it as "partial 16S ribosomal RNA". It matches the Rfam family "Bacterial small subunit ribosomal RNA", at positions 28 to 507 of the family's 1533-position model. The record is from RNAcentral.
GAUGAACGCUGGCGGCGUGCCUAAUACAUGCAAGUCGAGCGAACGGACGAGAAGCUUGCUUUUCUGAUGUUAGCGGCGGACGGGUGAGUAACACGUGGAUAACCUACCUAUAAGACUGGGAUAACUUCGGGAAACCGGAGCUAAUACCGGAUAAUAUUUUGAACCGCAUGGUUCAAAAGUGAAAGACGGUCUUGCUGUCACUUAUAGAUGGAUCCGCGCUGCAUUAGCUAGUUGGUAAGGUAACGGCUUACCAAGGCAACGAUGCAUAGCCGACCUGAGAGGGUGAUCGGCCACACUGGAACUGAGACACGGUCCAGACUCCUACGGGAGGCAGCAGUAGGGAAUCUUCCGCAAUGGGCGAAAGCCUGACGGAGCAACGCCGCGUGAGUGAUGAAGGUCUUCGGAUCGUAAAACUCUGUUAUUAGGGAAGAACAGAUGUGUACGAAACUGUGCACCUCUUGACGGUACCUAAUCAGAAAGCAACGGCUAACUACGUG